Long non-coding RNA from Telopea speciosissima, 443 nucleotides. RefSeq lists it as uncharacterized. The record is from RefSeq and is a predicted model, not a curated record. Lineage: Eukaryota; Viridiplantae; Streptophyta; Magnoliopsida; Proteales; Proteaceae. The transcript is spliced from 2 exons.
AGCUACUAUAAGGUUGUAAGUUCAGCAGAGAACUACUCAGCUAUACUAUCUAAGCUGCGUGAGGAAGGAAUAUCUUUUGAACCCGAUAAUGGAUCUGAGCUACUUCCAAUAACCACUUUCGAGGUAGAUGAUGAAGCCAUGGAUUUGAACAAGGAACUUAUGUCCAAACUUCUUGAACUCGAUGAUGUUGAUGCGGUGUAUACAGAUCAGAAAUGACCAAAUUGGCAGCUGUGAUCAUCAUCUCUGCAAAUGAAGCCCGGUUGUGGUACACUGUAGAUCUCUGCCAGAUCACUGGGUUGACAACAGAUUGAGUUCAACAAAAAAAAACUUUGUUUUUGCUUUUCAUAACUCAAAUUGUCUCUUUGGAAGACAAUUAUUUUUUGCAGGAAUAAUGAUUGUAAAAAUUCAAUUUAUGAGAGAAUAAAGCUGUUUUUUUUUUUGGG